GGUUAAGUGACUAAGCGUACACGGUGGAUGCCUUGGCAGUCAGAGGCGAUGAAAGGCGUAAUAACUUGCGAUAAGCCCAGAUUAGGUAGUAAUAACCUU
RNAcentral lists this ribosomal RNA (99 nucleotides) under Vibrio splendidus. RNAcentral's name for it is "partial 23S ribosomal RNA". It matches the Rfam family "Bacterial large subunit ribosomal RNA", at positions 1 to 99 of the family's 2925-position model. Lineage: Bacteria; Pseudomonadati; Pseudomonadota; Gammaproteobacteria; Vibrionales; Vibrionaceae. The record is from RNAcentral.